ACUAUAGCGCGCUGGAAUUGCUGGAUCAUUGAUGCUAGUUGGGUUGGGCCUUCGGCCUACCUCAGCAAGGCCCAACUUAGAGCCUAAUAGUUGCAAGUGAUUAGGUUCGGGCUCUAGAGUUAGCUUCGGCGCUCCCUCAGUUCGAUAGCGCUCUCCUGAGGUGUGAGGUCUUUCAGUAGCUGUCUAGCUGAGUUCGAGUAAUUGAGUUAGGGUUUCCAGAAAAAAGCAGAAUCAUGUAAGCUUCAAGCAGUGGGGAUUCAAUGAGGAUCAGGUGACAUCCAAUGUGAAGUACUUCACAUGAACUGAAUUUGAAGUUCGAACUCGUCUGUGGUGAGAAGAGAAUCGCUGAUCAAGGAUGUAAGACAUCAAGGUGUACAGACGCAAGAAGAAAAAGAAACAGCCAUCUUUGUGGCUGGAAGAAUAGAAAGAAGAGGAAGAAAGAAGAAGAAGAAAAAGGAGGAAGAAAAGGAGGCUCGAUCUAGCCUUCCCAACACUGGAUCGAAUCCCUCUCUCUUUCCAGAUCUCAGCAAAUCUUGUGGGCCCCAUUAUUUGUUAGUUUAGUAGUUUAUUUUUAGAAUAUUUUUUUCCUUGUUAGUCUUUUAAUUAAUUAGGAAACUACUUUACUAGUUGUUAGUUUUUAGGAAGUCAUUAUUUACUUUCCAAUUGGAUUUUUUAUUUUAUUUUUAGUAACUAAGUUUAUCAAUUAUGUAAUGGCCUAGGCCACGAUGGAAUCAAUGAAAAAUUAUUGAAAGCA
Molecule: long non-coding RNA, 754 nt
Organism: Macadamia integrifolia
Lineage: Eukaryota; Viridiplantae; Streptophyta; Magnoliopsida; Proteales; Proteaceae
Exons: 2
Source: RefSeq, a predicted model, not a curated record